This 253-nucleotide ribosomal RNA is filed under the name uncultured bacterium. Its description in RNAcentral is "partial 16S ribosomal RNA". It matches the Rfam family "Bacterial small subunit ribosomal RNA", at positions 524 to 776 of the family's 1533-position model. The record is from RNAcentral.
UACGGGGGGGGCAAGCGUUGUUCGGAAUUACUGGGCGUAAAGGGCUCGUAGGCGGCCAACUAAGUCCGACGUGAAAUCCCCAGGCUUAACCUGGGAACUGCGUCGGAUACUGGUUGGCUUGAAUCCGGGAGAGGGAUGCGGAAUUCCAGGUGUAGCGGUGAAAUGCGUAGAUAUCUGGAGGAACACCGGUGGCGAAGGCGGCAUCCUGGACCGACACUGACACUGAGGAGCGAAAGCCAGGGGAGCAAACGGG